UACGAGGGGGGCGAGCGUUGUUCGGAUUCAUUGGGCGUAAAGGGUGCGUAGGCGGUUUCCUAAGUUUGAUGUGAAAUCCCGGGGCUUAACCCUGGAAUUGCAUUGAAUACUGGGAGACUAGAGUACUGGAGAGGAAACUGGAAUUUACGGUGUAGCAGUGAAAUGCGUAGAGAUCGUAAGGAAGACCAGUGGCGAAGGCGAGUUUCUGGACAGUUACUGACGCUGAGGCACGAAAGCCAGGGGAGCAAACGGG
This 253-nucleotide ribosomal RNA is filed under the name uncultured bacterium. RNAcentral describes it as "partial 16S ribosomal RNA". It matches the Rfam family "Bacterial small subunit ribosomal RNA", at positions 524 to 776 of the family's 1533-position model. The record is from RNAcentral.